RNAcentral lists this unclassified non-coding RNA (222 nucleotides) under Paraglomerales sp. RNAcentral describes it as "partial internal transcribed spacer 2". Lineage: Eukaryota; Fungi; Glomeromycota; Glomeromycetes; Paraglomerales. The record is from RNAcentral.
GUGAAUCAUCAAAUUUUUGAACGCAACUUGCGCCUUUUUCGGAAGGAAUGUCCGUUUGAGGGCACUAUUUAAAAAAUAAUGUGCAGCGUUUUUUGUUGCACACGUUGAUGAGCUUUUUAAGAAUUUUAAAUUUUUGGUGGCGCAUAAUGAAUAGCGUGAAAGUUCUUUUCAGUUUGAGGGCAGUAAAAUCUUUGCUUGGGUUGUGAAUAAACAUAAUUGCGU